GGUGAGUAACACGUAUCCAACCUGCCCUUUACUCGGGGAUAGCCUUUCGAAAGAAAGAUUAAUACCCGAUGGCAUAAUGAUUCCGCAUGGUUUCAUUAUUAAAGGAUUCCGGUAAAGGAUGGGGAUGCGUUCCAUUAGGUUGUUGGUGAGGUAACGGCUCACCAAGCCUUCGAUGGAUAGGGGUUCUGAGAGGAAGGUCCCCCACAUUGGAACUGAGACACGGUCCAAACUCCUACGGGAGGCAGCAGUGAGGAAUAUUGGUCAAUGGGCGCUAGCCUGAACCAGCCAAGUAGCGUGAAGGAUGAAGGCUCUAUGGGUCGUAAACUUCUUUUAUAUAAGAAUAAAGUGCAGUAUGUAUACUGUUUUGUAUGUAUUAUAUGAAUAAGGAUCGGCUAACUCCGUGCCAGCAGCCGCGGUAAUACGGAGGAUCCGAGCGUUAUCCGGAUUUAUUGGGUUUAAAGGGAGCGUAGGUGGACUGGUAAGUCAGUUGUGAAAGUUUGCGGCUCAACCGUAAAAUUGCAGUUGAUACUGUCAGUCUUGAGUACAGUAGAGGUGGGCGGAAUUCGUGGUGUAGCGGUGAAAUGCUUAGAUAUCACGAAGAACUCCGAUUGCGAAGGCAGCUCACUGGACUGCAACUGACACUGAUGCUCGAAAGUGUGGGUAUCAAACAGGAUUAGAUACCCUGGUAGUCCACACAGUAAACGAUGAAUACUCGCUGUUUGCGAUAUACAGUAAGCGGCCAAGCGAAAGCAUUAAGUAUUCCACCUGGGGAGUACGCCGGCAACGGUGAAACUCAAAGGAAUUGACGGGGGCCCGCACAAGCGGAGGAACAUGUGGUUUAAUUCGAUGAUACGCGAGGAACCUUACCCGGGCUUAAAUUGCAGUGGAAUGAUGUGGAAACAUGUCAGUGAGCAAUCACCGCUGUGAAGGUGCUGCAUGGUUGUCGUCAGCUCGUGCCGUGAGGUGUCGGCUUAAGUGCCAUAACGAGCGCAACCCUUAUCUUCAGUUACUAACAGGUCAUGCUGAGGACUCUGGAGAGACUGCCGUCGUAAGAUGUGAGGAAGGUGGGGAUGACGUCAAAUCAGCACGGCCCUUACGUCCGGGGCUACACACGUGUUACAAUGGGGGGUACAGAAGGCAGCUAGCGGGUGACCGUAUGCUAAUCCCAAAAUCCUCUCUCAGUUCGGAUCGAAGUCUGCAACCCGACUUCGUGAAGCUGGAUUCGCUAGUAAUCGCGCAUCAGCCACGGCGCGGUGAAUACGUUCCCGGGCCUUGUACACACCGCCCGUCAAGCCAUGGGAGCCGGGGGUACCUGAAGUACGUAACCGCAAGGAUCGUCCUAGGGUAAAACUGGUGACUG
This 1360-nucleotide ribosomal RNA is filed under the name Bacteroides fragilis. RNAcentral's name for it is "bacterial SSU rRNA". It matches the Rfam family "Bacterial small subunit ribosomal RNA", at positions 105 to 1477 of the family's 1533-position model. Lineage: Bacteria; Pseudomonadati; Bacteroidota; Bacteroidia; Bacteroidales; Bacteroidaceae. The record is from RNAcentral.